Molecule: ribosomal RNA, 465 nt
Filed under: uncultured bacterium
Lineage: Bacteria
Description: partial 16S ribosomal RNA
Rfam family: Bacterial small subunit ribosomal RNA
Source: RNAcentral
GAUGAACGCUGGCGGCGUGCUUAACACAUGCAAGUCGAACGGAAAGGCUCCUGCUUGCAGGGGUGCUCGAGUGGCGAACGGGUGAGUAACACGUGGGUGAUCUGCCCUGCACUUCGGGAUAAGCCUGGGAAACUGGGUCUAAUACCGGAUAGGACCUCCUUCUGCAUGGUGUGGUUGGGAGUUUUUCGGUGGGGGAUGAACUCGCGGCCUAUCAGCUUGUUGGUGGGGUAAUGGCCUACCAAGGCGUCGACGGGUAGCCGGCCUGAGAGGGUGUACGGCCACAUUGGGACUGAGAUACGGCCCAGACUCCUACGGGAGGCAGCAGUGGGGAAUAUUGCACAAUGGGCGGAAGCCUGAUGCAGCGACGCCGCGUGGGGGAUGACGGCCUUCGGGUUGUAAACUCCUUUCGCUAGGGACGAAGCGCAAGUGACGGUACCUGGAGAAGAAGCACCGGCUAACUACGUG